Myiozetetes cayanensis is the source of this 500-nucleotide long non-coding RNA. RefSeq lists it as uncharacterized. The transcript is spliced from 3 exons. The record is from RefSeq and is a predicted model, not a curated record. Lineage: Eukaryota; Metazoa; Chordata; Aves; Passeriformes; Tyrannidae.
GUGAAAAUGUACGUGGUUCAUAUGUCUACUUUUGUGUUCUCACAUGAUCCCCAAAGAGGGAGAGAGACCACAGAACAGCUUUGGUGGAAGUUGGGCUGUGUGGAUCAGCUGCAGGAGCACCCUGGAGCACUGUGGGGACUGGGUGUGUCCUGGGGACUGGUCUGUAAGGGCAUUUUUCAAAAUUUCUGCAAGGAGGACUCGAAGUAACCAAGCCUUGCCACUUAGGAGAGAGCAAAGGAUCUGAGAAGUGACACAUGCCUCCUUCCCAAGCCCCCCCAUGUCUUGGCUGCCAGCCCUGGCUCAAACAGAGAAAAUAAUUUUGUAUCCAACCACGUAUUUCAAGCCCUGUCUGGAUGGUGUUUGUGACUGUAUUUUCUAUCGUCAUUGAAAGCCACAGAGGAGGGAAAUAAGCAUCAGAGCAUCACUCACCUCACACUUUAGUAACUGGAUGCCCUCUAGCGAGGCUGCCACUGCUCUCAGAUCUGUCAGUCCUUAUUUAU